Non-coding RNA from Cervus elaphus (red deer), 451 nucleotides. The record is from the annotation of a RefSeq genome assembly. Lineage: Eukaryota; Metazoa; Chordata; Mammalia; Artiodactyla; Cervidae.
GAAACAUCCAGACAAGUCAUGACACUCACCACCCAGGGUUUGCUAUGUAUCUUGUGAAUGUUUUCCAGCAACAAGGCAAAGCGUCAUGAAAAGGCUAGUGGACACUGUACUGGGGCUUUUGUUUGCCCAGGUUUGCUGUGUGCGAGGGAUGGAUGUGGUGCAGAGUCCCCCAGCCCUGAGUCUCCAGGAGGGAGCCAGCUCUACUCUGCAGUGUAAUUUCUCCACCUUCCCAAACAGCGUGCAGUGGUAUCUUCAGAACCCUGGGGGCCGCCUCAUCCACCUGUUUUCCGUUCCUUCAGGGACAAAGCAGGAAGGAAGAUUAAAUGCCACUACAGUCCCCAAAGAAGGCCGCAGCUCACUGCACAUUUCCUCUCCGCGGACCACAGACUCGGGCACUUACUUCUGUGCUGCGCAGCACGGUGCUCCCCAGGCACCUGCAGCCUCUACAUGA